This is a long non-coding RNA of Cannabis sativa, 379 nucleotides long. RefSeq lists it as uncharacterized. The transcript has 2 exons. The record is from RefSeq and is a predicted model, not a curated record. NCBI's taxonomy places the organism in Eukaryota, Viridiplantae, Streptophyta, Magnoliopsida, Rosales, Cannabaceae.
CCUCGCCGACCACCGCCUCCACCACCCAUUUCUCCCCCAUUUCUCAACCAUUUGAGCCCAUUUUUGUUGCAAAAUCUUCUAUUUUCGAUACUUAAUCCUAUACACCCAAAAAGUUUUAAUUUUUUUCCCUAUUUCACUGUCAUCCGAACCUAUACAAAAAUAGUGGGUAUAACUCCGGCCACCAUUUUUUGUUGAGAAAACAUUGAAUCUCAACCUCUUUUAAGUGCCCGGAUUUUUUACGGAAUUGCUCGUCGGAUUGCGGUUAUUAGGUAAAAAUUUAAAGCUCAACAUAUAGUAUAUAUAUGUAAUUUUAUAUUUUAUUGAAUAUGUGUGUAUAUAAUGUGUGUAUAUUAGUGUGUGUAUAGUUUAGAAAUAAAAA